GAGUUUGAUCCUGGCUCAGAGUGAACGCUGGCGGUAGGCCUAACACAUGCAAGUCGAACGGCAGCACAGUAAGAGCUUGCUCUUACGGGUGGCGAGUGGCGGACGGGUGAGGAAUACAUCGGAAUCCACUUUUUCGUGGGGGAUAACGUAGGGAAACUUACGCUAAUACCGCAUACGACCUACGGGUGAAAGCAGGGGAUCUUCGGACCUUGCGCGAUUGAAUGAGCCGAUGUCGGAUUAGCUAGUUGGCGGGGUAAAGGCCCACCAAGGCGACGAUCCGUAGCUGGUCUGAGAGGAUGAUCAGCCACACUGGAACUGAGACACGGUCCAGACUCCUACGGGAGGCAGCAGUGGGGAAUAUUGGACAAUGGGCGCAAGCCUGAUCCAGCCAUACCGCGUGGGUGAAGAAGGCCUCGG
Molecule: ribosomal RNA, 417 nt
Filed under: uncultured microorganism
Description: bacterial SSU rRNA
Rfam family: Bacterial small subunit ribosomal RNA
Source: RNAcentral